GGUGGCGUAGUUCAGUAGGCUAGAACGUCGGCCUGUCACGCCGAAAGUCACGGGUUCAAACCCCGUCGUCAUCG
RNAcentral lists this transfer RNA (74 nucleotides) under Caudoviricetes sp. Its description in RNAcentral is "tRNA-Asp". It matches the Rfam family "tRNA". Rfam says of the family: Transfer RNA (tRNA) molecules are approximately 80 nucleotides in length. Their secondary structure includes four short double-helical elements and three loops (D, anti-codon, and T loops). Lineage: Duplodnaviria; Heunggongvirae; Uroviricota; Caudoviricetes. The record is from RNAcentral.